This 382-nucleotide ribosomal RNA is filed under the name uncultured marine Chaetocerotaceae. Its description in RNAcentral is "SSU rRNA". It matches the Rfam family "Eukaryotic small subunit ribosomal RNA", at positions 587 to 972 of the family's 1831-position model. Lineage: Eukaryota; Bacillariophyta; Thalassiosirophyceae; Chaetocerotales; Chaetocerotaceae. The record is from RNAcentral.
AGCUCCAAUAGCGUAUAUUAAAGUUGUUGCAGUUAAAAAGCUCGUAGUUGGAUUUCUGGUGUGAGGGAACGGUCCGACCUCUGGUGGGUACUUGCUUCCUCUCACGCCAUCCUUGAGUGGUGCGUUCUGGCAUUCAGUUGUCGGGACGUUAGCCGCUCAUCGUUUACUGUGAGAAAAUUAGAGUGUUCAAAGCAGGCUUAUGCCGUUGAAUAUAUUAGCAUGGAAUAAUAAGAUAGGACUUCGGUACUAUUGUGUGGGUUUGCGCACCGAUGUAAUGAUUAAUAGGGACAGUUGGGGGUAUUCGUAUUCAGUUGUCAGAGGUGAAAUUCUUAGAUUUACGGAAGACGAACUACUGCGAAAGCAUUUACCAAGGAUGUUUUCA